AUUGAACGCUGGCGGCAGGCCUAACACAUGCAAGUCGAACGAGUGGCGGACGGGUGAGUAAUGUCUGGGAAACUGCCCGAUGGAGGGGGAUCACUACUGGAAACCGUAGCUAAUACCCCAUCCCAUCGGCUGUACCCAGAUGGGAUUAGCUAGUAGGUGGGGUAACGGCUCACCUGGGAGACGAUCCCUAGCUGGUCUGAGGGGAUGACAAGCCCAAUGGGAACUGAGAAAGGGCCAAGAACCCUCCGGGAGGAAGAAGUGGGGAACAUGGAACAAUGGGGGAAAUCCGGAUGCAGCCAGGCAGCGUGUAUGAGGAAGGCCUCCGGGUUGUAAAGUACUUUAAGCGAGGAGGCGUUACGCGAAGAAGAAGCCCCGGCUAACUACGUGCCAGCAGCCGCGGUAAUUC
RNAcentral lists this ribosomal RNA (406 nucleotides) under uncultured bacterium. Its description in RNAcentral is "partial 16S ribosomal RNA". It matches the Rfam family "Bacterial small subunit ribosomal RNA", at positions 29 to 526 of the family's 1533-position model. The record is from RNAcentral.